AAACAAUGCUAUGGCAGAAUUUUAGACUGUGGCUACAGUAAUAAAGUACUGCAGCAAAACAAAUGCAUAUCAAGUCAUCGAUGUUGAUAAGAUGUCAGGAAUGCAGUGAUAAAAGAAUAAGGGUGAAAAUUAUAAAAGAGAAAGCAGGAAUGCAGUGGGUAAAAGAAAAAGGAUGAAAGGAGAACUAAAUAUGUGAUCCAUCGUAUGGAAAACUGGUUUGUUCAUUCGUUAAUUCAUUUAAUAAAUAUUUAUUGAACACAGACUUGGUGCUAGGAACUGAGAAUAAAUCAUGAACAAAACAAAGUUUUAGCCUUAAUGAAGCCCACAUUCUGGUGGAAAAACAGAAAAUAAACAAAUAAGUAUAAUGUAAAUAAUAAAUAUUUAAAUUAUAGUAAUAUAAUAUAGUAUAUGCACUAGCAUAUACUAUAAUAUACUAGCAUAUACUAACAUAUACUUGCAUAUACUAGCAUAUACUAGUAAAUGCUAGUAUAUGCACUAGCAUGGAAUGGUAAGUUUUAUAAAGAAAAAUAACACAGAAUGAAGGGUUACAGAGUGACUAGUGCAUGUCAGUGGAGUGGCACUGCAGUUGGGAAGAUAAUAUCUUAACAGAGACCUGAAUUAAAUGAUGGAGAGAGUCCUGUGGAUAUCUGAAGGAAGACUGUCUUAGUCUGUUUAGUGUUGUUGCUGUAACAGAAUACCUGAGACUGGGUAAUUUAUAAAGAAGAGAGGUUUAUUUAGCUCACAGUUCUGCAAGCUGGGAAGUUCAAGGGUAUGGCUCAGGCUUAUGUUGAGGGCUAUUGGUCUACAGCAUAACAUGGUAGAGAAGGUCAAAUGGGCAGUGGAUACAUGCAAAAAGACUAAACCCAAGGGGCAUCCUGGCUUUAUAAAAUCCAACUCUUGGAGAACUAAUUCUGUAUUGGACAUUUCAAUUUUGAGAUGCCUAUUAAACAUCAAUUUAGGUUUAGGCUUAGGAGGUGUUGAGUUGACAGAUGAAUAUAUAAACUGAAGAUCAAGGAAAAUGUCAAGACUGGAGGUACAACACUGAGAAUCAUCAGUGCGUAAAUGAUGUUUAAAAUCAUGGCACUUAAAUCCCACUGGCUAUUAGACCAAAGUGUUGGACCCAGAAAUGAGAAGAUCAUGAUAAAAGGGGACCAACAAUAAGCAAUAAAACCAACCGAGUGUGAAAUCUACUCCAAAUACAAUAAUUUCUAAAAAUUAACUCUCAGAAAAGAAUUACUCUAAAUUUGCGUCCUUAAAAAAAUCUCUCAUAUUAUGGAGAGAGUCCUGUGGAUGUCUGAAGAGAAAGUGUCUUAGUCCAUUUAGUGUUGCUAUAACAGAAUACUUGAGACUGGGUAAUCUAUAAGAAGAGGCAUGAGGGAAAAGACAUGGACAGGCCAUGAAAAAAAUCAAGGACCCAUCUCCCUACAUAGACAGCAUUCUGAUCCAUGGUAAUAAGGCUGAACAAGAAGACCAAUUUGGAAAGGCACUAUUAUGGAAAUGCACCUUCAAAAAAAAAUUUUUUUUUUGAUAUGGAGUCUUGUUCUGUUGCCCGGGCUGGAGUGCAGUGGCGCAAUCUCGGCUCGCUGCAAACUCUGCCUCCCAGGUUCAAGCGAUUCUCAUGCCUCAGCCUCCCAAGUAGCUGGGAUUACAGGUGCCCACCACCACGUCCAGCUAAUUUUUGUAUUUUUUAGUAGCGAUGGGGUUUCACUAUGUGGGCCAGGCUGGUCUCUAACUCCUGGCCUCAGGUGAUCCACCCACCUCGGCCUCCCAAAGUGCUGGGAUUACAGACAUGAGCCACCGUGCCCAGCCUCAAAUUCUUUAUUUUGAACAAAAAUCUUGUUUGGCAAAGAAACAUCAGCCUGAAAUGACCUCAAUCAACACUGGUUUGCAAUGAUUAGAGAUGUCACCUGACAGAAUCAGUAAAUAAGGAAGGCAAAGAAAUUUGACACAGAUUUAGUAAUUAUUGCUAAAGGUCUAUCACCUCACAAUUGCAAGUGUCAAAUGUCUUUGUAAACAAUCCUUCUAAAGCUCACUUGAAAAUCAAUACAGAAAACGGUUGUCUGUGGAAAUCAUGCACAUAUACCAUCAGGACAAAUUAAACAACCAAAAAUCUGUCCGCACAUAAUGGGCUAUUGUGGCUUGGGAUAAAAGUUUCCGUGGGAGCAAACAUAUAGAUACAAACAUAAACGUGUCACAAUGACUCAAAUGGAAAUGAACACAAUGUACUGUGGAAAACUGUGCUGGACGAUUUAAAAAAAAUGGAUCUACUGACGACAGAGACACUAAUGUCCAAGACGCCAGUGAGGAGUUUCAGUAAAAUUGUUUCUUACAACUUUAUUAUUAUAUGAGUAGGAAAAAAGCAGUAAAUUAAAUUACCUUUAUAAUAUAUAAUUUUAAAUUGUAUAUAUAAUGAAACUACUCCAAUAAAAUGUAUAAGUAAAUAUCAAUUUCAAUAAGGUUCUAAAGGUUAUUUAUACUUAAAUUGGCCAAAAUUCUGGAGAAUAUUCUCAACUGGAAAAGGAAUGGAGGUGUUUUAUGUUCUGGGUUAUCCUGUAUUUAAACAUAUAUGGUGCUGGAUAUUCCUAUGGCUAUAAAACUAAAUGCAAAGUUAUAUCAUUAUCUUCAAUUUGGUGGCAUGAGGGAAAGACAUGGACGGGCCAUGAAAAAAAUCAGGGAUUCAUCUCCUGACAUAGACAGCAUUCUGAGCCAUGGUAAUAGCUGAACAAGAAGACUAAAGCCCUCCCCAUUGUUCUGAGUCAGAUUCUUAAUACUGAUAAGGGUACACUCCAAAAAAGGAAGAAAAUGUGUGUGUGUGUGUGUGUAUGUCUGUGUGCAAGCACGCACAAGUGAGCACACACAUGGAUGUCAGGAAGGCAAAGGCAGAAUCAGGGAGGCUGGAAAAUAUCAUUUGGGAAAUAUUUUCAGAGCGAUAGACCAAUAUCUUCAACAAAUACCUGUUGGGUUGGGAAUAUUAUUAAGUUGGUGCAAACAUAAUUGUGGUUUUUGCCAUUAAAAGUCAUAGCAACCUUCAACACAGAAAGCCUAUGGUUAUGAGCUUUUCCUUUAGUUUGACAUCUCUUUGAUAUGGUUGGUCCGCCCCCAAAAAGGAGAAAUAUGUCAGUCAGAAGAGGCAUCCACAGUGGGACAGGGCACUUCCAUGGCUCACGUUGCACAGUGGGUUCAACAAAUAUGGAACAAUGUACCAACUUCCAGUUAAAAAAAUAAUGAAUUGAACCCAAGCUUUGAGCUCUGCUUUCUUUGGAAAUGCCAUUAUAGCAACAAUAAAGGGUUUUAACAAAAAACCAAUAAGGCAAGGACCAAUGGGAAAAAGCAACAUCAAAAUUUUGGAAACUGGAAAGCAGAUAGACAAGCCGAGGACUGAGAAAGUUGAGUUAUAAGCCCACGGAGGGUAAAUUCAAGAACCAACCCAGUUUAUACUAAAGAACCCCCGAGUCACUCAGCAAUUGCUGUCCAGGAUCUCUGGAAGUAAAGCAGCAACAAAAACCAGUACAGGGGUAUUUAGAGAAACAGAAAUUAUCCAGAAAGAAGAAAAUCUCUUUUUUAAAAAGUAUUAGUUCCCUCAAAGGGAUGAAGUAUUGCAAACAUGAAAUAGGAACAGGAUUCUAUUUUAAGAAAAGCGACAUUCUGAAACCAAAAAAGUGCUCAUAAAGUUAAAAAUACGAUAUGAAAAAAAUUAAAGUCAGCAGCAGGCUUGGAAGCUAUAGAUGAGGAAAUCUCCCAGAAAGUAGAUCAAAAAGACAAAGAUAUAGAUAAUAGGAAAGAAAAGAUAAAAAACAAAACAAAACAAAACAAAAAAAACUAGAGAAACCAUCCAGAAGAUGCCAUCCAAAUAAGAGGAGUUCCAGAGAGAACAGAGAAACACAGGGGAGUACAUCAGCAACAAAACAACAAUAAAACAUGUCCCUAAGAGAGUGACAAGAAUUGCCAGAUUGAAAAGGCCCAUGAGUACCAAGUGAGACGGACAAAAAUAGACCCAUGCUGAAACAUAUCAUCGUGAAAUUUCGGAACACUAGGAGCAAAGAGAAGAUUUUAAAAAAUAAUUUCUGAUCAUUUUUAGACUACCUAAUCUGUCCAUUCCUUG
RNAcentral lists this long non-coding RNA (4102 nucleotides) under Homo sapiens (human). RNAcentral describes it as "HSALNT0401157". Lineage: Eukaryota; Metazoa; Chordata; Mammalia; Primates; Hominidae. The record is from RNAcentral.